UCAGAAUUAUGCAUGAAAGAAAAUGAAGGUGAACAAGACAGAGAAGAUUAGCAUGGCCCCUGUGCAAGGAUGACACGCAAAUUCGCGAAGCAUUCCAUAAAAAA
Dromiciops gliroides (monito del monte) is the source of this 104-nucleotide small nuclear RNA. NCBI's taxonomy places the organism in Eukaryota, Metazoa, Chordata, Mammalia, Microbiotheria, Microbiotheriidae. The record is from RefSeq and is a predicted model, not a curated record.